UACGCAGGGCGCAAGCGUUGUCCGGAAUUAUUGGGCGUAAAGAGCUCGUAGGCGGCUUGUCACGUCGGGUGUGAAAGCCCGGGGCUUAACCCCGGGUCUGCAUUCGAUACGGGCUGGCUAGAGUGUGGUAGGGGAGAUCGGAAUUCCUGGUGUAGCGGUGAAAUGCGCAGAUAUCAGGAGGAACACCGGUGGCGAAGGCGGUUCUCUGGGCAUGAUCUGACGCUGAGGAGCGAAAGUGUGGGGAGCGAACAGG
This 253-nucleotide ribosomal RNA is filed under the name uncultured bacterium. RNAcentral describes it as "partial 16S ribosomal RNA". It matches the Rfam family "Bacterial small subunit ribosomal RNA", at positions 524 to 776 of the family's 1533-position model. The record is from RNAcentral.